GGCCUCCCUCUGUGGGGUGAUCGAUUAUGGGGCACCCAGAUUGAUCGCCUCACAGAGGGAGGUC
RNAcentral lists this microRNA precursor (64 nucleotides) under Myotis lucifugus (little brown bat). RNAcentral's name for it is "mir-9242 microRNA precursor family". It matches the Rfam family "mir-9242 microRNA precursor family". Lineage: Eukaryota; Metazoa; Chordata; Mammalia; Chiroptera; Vespertilionidae. The record is from Rfam by way of RNAcentral.